Molecule: transfer RNA, 85 nt
Rfam family: tRNA
About the family: Transfer RNA (tRNA) molecules are approximately 80 nucleotides in length.
GGAGGAUAUGCGAAUUGGCUAGCAGACUGAUUCGAAAUCAGUUGCCCCUUAUGGGGUUGCGGGUUCGAGUCCCGUGUCCUCCGCC